RNAcentral lists this ribosomal RNA (489 nucleotides) under uncultured bacterium. Its description in RNAcentral is "bacterial SSU rRNA". It matches the Rfam family "Bacterial small subunit ribosomal RNA", at positions 21 to 507 of the family's 1533-position model. The record is from RNAcentral.
GGCUCAGAUUGAACGCUGCGGCAUGCCUUACACAUGCAAGUCGAACGGACAGCACGGACUUCGGUCUGGUGGCGAGUGGCGAACGGGUGAGUAAUGUAUCGGAACAUACCUUCAGUGGGGAUAACGUAGCGAAAGUUACGCUAAUACCGCAUAUUCUGUGAGCAGGAAAGCAGGGGAUCGCAAGACCUUGCGCUGAUUGAGCGGCCGAUAUCAGAUUAGCUAGUUGGUGAGGUAAAGGCUCACCAAGGCGACGAUCUGUAGCGGGUCUGAGAGGAUGAUCCGCCACACUGGAACUGAGACACGGUCCAGACUCCUACGGGAGGCAGCAGUGGGGAAUUUUGGACAAUGGGGGCAACCCUGAUCCAGCCAUGCCGCGUGAGUGAAGAAGGCCUUCGGGUUGUAAAGCUCUUUCGGCCGGGAAGAAAUCGCAUGGGCUAAUACCCUGUGCGGAUGACGGUACCGGCAUAAGAAGCACCGGCUAACUACGUG